Bacillus rossius redtenbacheri is the source of this 128-nucleotide small nuclear RNA. RefSeq annotates it as U11 spliceosomal RNA. NCBI's taxonomy places the organism in Eukaryota, Metazoa, Arthropoda, Insecta, Phasmatodea, Bacillidae. The record is from RefSeq and is a predicted model, not a curated record. The transcript has a single exon.
UAAAAGGGUGUUUGCCGCUCUAAUGGCAUGCCAGUCAAUUAGCUGGUAGGGUAUGGCUAUCAAGACAUACCCAACACACAAUUUUUGAAAACAGAGGCAGUUGGCUGUCAACUUGCACCGGCGCCUCU